UCUCUUGCCGCCUCCGGUUUUCUCCCCUCUCGACGGCACAACACUCCUUCACGCAGCUCCAUGUCGUCUUUCGUUUUCUCGCAUCUCGUUUACUUUCAAUUAAUGUGUCUUGCAAUGCUUAUAUGGAAUGCGAAUGAAUGUUUUUCU
Caenorhabditis elegans is the source of this 147-nucleotide non-coding RNA. Lineage: Eukaryota; Metazoa; Nematoda; Chromadorea; Rhabditida; Rhabditidae. The record is from Ensembl.